RNAcentral lists this ribosomal RNA (431 nucleotides) under uncultured bacterium. RNAcentral describes it as "bacterial SSU rRNA". It matches the Rfam family "Bacterial small subunit ribosomal RNA", at positions 608 to 1031 of the family's 1533-position model. The record is from RNAcentral.
CUCAACCGGGGAAUUGCGGGGCGAACUGCGCAUCUUGAGGCAGGUAGAGGCCGUCGGAACGCUCGGUGGAGCGGUGAAAUGCAUAGAUAUCGAGCGGAACGCCAAAGGAGGAAUCAGGCGGCUGGGCCUGUCCUGACGCUCAGGCACGAAAGCGUGGGGAGCGAACGGGAUUAGAUACCCCGGUAGUCCACGCCCUAAACGUUGCGCACUAGAUCGAGGGCGUUUUGACGCGUUCUCGGUCGAAGAGAAAUCGUUAAGUGCGCCGCCUGGGGAGUACGGUCGCAAGGCUAAAACUCAAAGGAAUUGACGGGGGCUCACACAAGCGGUGGAGCAUGUUGCUUAAUUCGAAGCAACGCGAAGAACCUUAUCCUGGGCUUGACAUGCGCGGAUUAGUCCGCCGAGAGGCGGGCGACGCCCUUCGGGGUGGAACG